This 481-nucleotide ribosomal RNA is filed under the name Camellia fangchengensis. RNAcentral's name for it is "eukaryotic LSU rRNA". It matches the Rfam family "Eukaryotic large subunit ribosomal RNA", at positions 2926 to 3401 of the family's 3401-position model. Lineage: Eukaryota; Viridiplantae; Streptophyta; Magnoliopsida; Ericales; Theaceae. The record is from RNAcentral.
GGAUUGUUCACCCACCAAUAGGGAACGUGAGCUGGGUUUAGACCGUCGUGAAACAGGUUAGUUUUACCCCACUGGUGACAACGUUGCAAUAGUAAUUCAACCUAGUACGAGAGGAAUCGUUGAUUCACAUAAUUGGUCAUCGAGCUUGGUUGAAAAGCCAGUAACGUGAAGCUACCGUGCGCUAGAUUAUGACUGAACACCUCUAAGUCAGAAUCUGGGCUAGAAGCGAUGCAUGCGCCUGCCACCUGCUUGUCGACCAGCAGUAGGGGCCGUCCGGCCCCCAAAAGCAUGUGUCAUUGGUGAAGCUUGCGCGGUGGAUAAACUGCGCAGGCCGCCUUGAACUACAAUUCCUAUCUCGAACGGCGAGUAGAAUCCUUUACAGACGACUUAAAUACGCGACAAGGUAUUGUAAGUGGCAGAGUGUCCUUGCUGCCAUGAUCCACUAAGAUUCAGCCCUGCGUCGCUCCGAUUCGUCCCUCCC